This 380-nucleotide ribosomal RNA is filed under the name uncultured bacterium. RNAcentral describes it as "bacterial SSU rRNA". It matches the Rfam family "Bacterial small subunit ribosomal RNA", at positions 537 to 916 of the family's 1533-position model. The record is from RNAcentral.
AGGGAUGACUGCAAUUACUGCGCGUAAAGAGUAUGUAGGUGGAAAGUUGAGUGGGAUGUGAAAGCCCGGGGCUUAACCUCGGAAUCGCAUUUGAAACUGGUUGGCUAGAGUACUGUAGAGGGGGGUGGAAUUUCAGGUGUAGCGGUGAAAUGCGUAGAGAUCUGAAGGAAUACCGGUGGCGAAGGCGGCCCCCUGGACAGAUACUGACACUGAGAUGCGAAAGCGUGGGGAGCAAACAGGAUUAGAUACCCUGGUAGUCCACGCCGUAAACGAUGUCUACUUGGAGGUUGUGGCCUUGAGCCGUGGCUUUCGGAGCUAACGCGUUAAGUAGACCGCCUGGGGAGUACGGUCGCAAGAUUAAAACUCAAAUGAAUUGACGG